GGGACACAUAUGGUGUAAAUAGUUCAAAAGAUAUUUGGAUGUCUUCAUGACAGAGGCUUUUCUUACACUUCAGGCUUAAUGUUGCAUUUUAUUUUUCCACAGCUUUGCACAUUUUUUUGGGGGGGGAGGUGGAAUGUCAUUUUCUUUACACCAGAAAUUAACUAUUUUUUUCUCUUUUCAUGGGGAGAAUUUCUUUUGUAUGGAAUUCUUCUGGCUUGCAGAAAUCUGUACAUUUGUAAACAGCAAUAUGCAUAUUUUCAAGUUCCAUCACACAAGAGAGAACUUGUCUCUUCUACUGAUUUGAAUGGAAUUGAACUUUAAAAGAACAGGUUCAUGUUCAGUUUAGAAAUCUCAUCACAGAAUGAAAUGAGAGUCCUGCUCAUCUCACCAAAUGUUUGCUGAAGAGGCUCCACUGGGGAAGGAAAGGGAAAGAGAAAGUACAUUGGAUCUCACUCAGGGGCUGUAAAGAAGAUGCACUUAUAGGUCUGCUGAGGCCUUUAUUCCAUGCUGUCCUCAUACUCAGAUCCACUCUCACUGGAGGUGGCUCCCACCUGGCUUCUGCAGAUAAAUGAAGCUCCACAGCAAAGCAAGAAGGUUUUAGGUUGUAUUUGAUGUGAUUGGGACUUAAGAAGAAAAGCUUUCCCAAGAGAGUUAUUGGCAUGAUUUUCUGAGAACAAGAGGAAAAUGGAAAACAUUUUAGCAAGUUAAGGGAAAAAAAAUCAACAGUAUCAUUGUUUGCCGCUUUUGUUGAAACUACCUGCACAAGUCAUUUGAGGGACGUGAAGGUGCAUGAGCCAUCUGCCUCCAAUGAACCCUGGACCACAUGGAAAGAGAGAAGGGAAAGAGAUUUGCUACUGAGGGUUGUGAAGAGUGACAGGGGAUAAGGGAGCUAUGAACUCAGCUGCACCCUGAGGGGACAGAGAGCCUGAAGGAGAAAAGGAUGGAGGAAUGGAGAAGAAAUAAGGAGGAACAUCAACAAGAAGCCUUUGAGAGGGAACUGACACUGAUUGUAGCCACUCCAACAGCUAUCAAAGUGCUUG
This is a long non-coding RNA of Nannospalax galili (Upper Galilee mountains blind mole rat), 1040 nucleotides long. RefSeq lists it as uncharacterized. The record is from RefSeq and is a predicted model, not a curated record. Lineage: Eukaryota; Metazoa; Chordata; Mammalia; Rodentia; Spalacidae. The transcript is spliced from 7 exons.